AUGCUCUCGCUCAGGUUGUCUACUAGUGGCACCAGCACAGGACUCGGCCGGUUCGCCGCCGCGAGGUUGGCGGCCGCAGCUCGUGGAGGGAGGAGCGUGUCCGCCGCGCCCGGCAUGGAGCACCCGCGCGACGACACGCACAACACCAAAGAGGACGUGACGAGCCACCCGUUCGGGGUGGCCUACUCCACGAGGUCGGACGAGGAAGGCUUCGGCGGGGUGUACGCGAGGGACGACGACCGGCCGGCGUUCAGCCGUCCAACUGCCGAGGCGCAUCCGACCCAUCCUCCUGACCAUGAUACCUCGCAGGUGAAGGAGGAGAAGGCGCGCCAUCUCAAGGACGACAAGCACGCCACCUAG
Molecule: ribosomal RNA, 360 nt
Filed under: Triticum aestivum (bread wheat)
Lineage: Eukaryota; Viridiplantae; Streptophyta; Magnoliopsida; Poales; Poaceae
Description: partial small subunit ribosomal RNA
Source: RNAcentral